ACGGGGGAGAGUAAUACAUGGAACCCGCGUGCAUCCGAGGGGUAAAUAUUGGAAAAAAUGACGCUUACCCCAUAUAAGUCUUCGAUGCAUGUGGUUUGAUUAAAAAAAGAGGUUGCACCUUCAGCUGAUGGAUGUGCCCUGGAUGAAUUAGCUGGUGGGGGAAGGAACGGCUCACGCGACCAUUCAUGCCCGACCUACCUGGGAGGUCGAUCGCCCUGGUUGUGACUGACACACCACACUCCUUCCUACGGCAGGCAUAGGGAAUCAAUCUUCCUGGACGGAAGUCUGACUGACGGACCCACGCCGCGUGAAUAAAGAUUGAUUUCCGUUCAGCUCUGUCUGUUGAUAAAAAAGAACGUGAGAGUGAAAAGUUGUUAUGGGGGCGACGUCUUCUAACAAAAGGACCGCUAAUUACUAGCUGCCAGCCGCCGCGGUACUACGGUCCCGAGCGUUGUCCGGAUGAAUUGUUGGUAGUACAAGCAGCGCAGGCUAGAUAAUACUGAUGAUGUGAGAUGCGCCUGAUCCAUCGGACACGGUCAUUGCUGACUGACUGACUUGAGUGAGGAGAAAGAGAAAGUACUUGCGUGUGUAGGGGAGGCAUGCAUAUAUGUAUGAACGACCACGGCUGGCGCAGGUCACUCUCUGGUCUGUGACUGUGACUGACGAUCGCAAGCGUGAGCUAACAAGGAUUAAAUACAUACCCUGGUCCACCCCCGUACAC
This 721-nucleotide ribosomal RNA is filed under the name uncultured bacterium. RNAcentral's name for it is "partial 16S ribosomal RNA". It matches the Rfam family "Bacterial small subunit ribosomal RNA", at positions 100 to 807 of the family's 1533-position model. The record is from RNAcentral.